RNAcentral lists this small RNA (757 nucleotides) under Pongo abelii (Sumatran orangutan). RNAcentral's name for it is "processed transcript". Lineage: Eukaryota; Metazoa; Chordata; Mammalia; Primates; Hominidae. The record is from RNAcentral.
CUGAGGGAGGACUGAGGCGGGCCUCACCCCAGGCAGAGGGCCCCCAAUAAUCCAGCGCUGCCUCUGCUGCCGGGCCUGGACCACUGCGCAGGGGAAGACUUCUCAGGCUGAGUCGCCACCACCUCACCCCGCCACCCCCCGCCGCUUUAACCACGGGGAACUCUGGCAUAAGAGCUUUCUGUGACCAGGGCAGGGCUGGUUAGAAGUGCCCAGGGCCCAGACUCAGCCAGGAAUCAAGGUCAGGACCCCAAGAGGGGACUGAGGGCAACCCACCCCCCACCCUCACUACCAAUCCCAUCCCCCAACACCAACCCCACCCCCAAACCCCAUUCCCAUCCCCUCCCCCACCACCAUCCUGGCAGAAUCCGGGCUUUGCCCCUGCAAUCAACCCACGGAAGCUCCAGGAAUGGCGGCGAAGCACGCGGAUCCUGACGUUCACAUAUCUCGGGGAGUUGAGGACCUUGUUUUCAGAAGGUGACUCAGGUCAACACAGGGGCCCCCAUGUGGUCGACAGAUGCAGUGGUUCUAGGAUCUGCCCAGCAUCCAGGUGGGGAGCCUGAGGUUCUGAGGGGACAGGCUGACAAGUAGGACCCGAGGAACUGGAGGAGCAUUGAAGGAGAAGAUCUGUAAGUAAGCCUUUGUCAGAGCCUCCAAGGUUCAGUUCAGUUCUCACCUAAGGCCUCACGCACGCUCCUUCUCUCCCUAGGCCUGUGGGUCUUCACUGCCCAGCUCCUGCCCGCACUCCUGCCUGCUGCCC